GCAAGUCGAGCGGCAGCGGGUCCUUCGGGAUGCCGGCGAGCGUGCGGACGGGUGAGUAAUGCCUAGGAAUCUGCCUGGUAGUGGGGGAUAACUCGGGGAAACUCGAGCUAAUACCGCAUACGUCCUACGGGAGAAAGCGGGGGAUCUUCGGACCUCGCGCUACCAGAUGAGCCUAGGUCGGAUUAGCUAGUUGGUGAGGUAAAGGCUCACCAAGGCGACGAUCCGUAGCUGGUCUGAGAGGAUGAUCAGCCACACUGGAACUGAGACACGGUCCAGACUCCUACGGGAGGCAGCAGUGGGGAAUAUUGUACAAUGGGCGAAAGCCUGAUCCAGCCAUGCCGCGUGUGUGAAGAAGGUCUUCGGAUUGUAAAGCACUUUAAGUUGGGAGGAAGGGCAGUAAGUUAAUACCUUGCUGUUUUGACGUUACCGACAGAAUAAGCACCGGCUAACUUCGUGCCAGCAGCCGCGGUAAUACGAAGGGUGCAAGCGUUAAUCGGAAUUACUGGGCGUAAAGCGCGCGUAGGUGGUUUGAUAAGUUGGAUGUGAAGCCCCGGGCUCAACCUGUGAAUUGCAUCCAAAACUGUCUGACUAGAGUAUGGCAGAGGGUGGUGGAAUUACCUGUGUAGCGGUGAAAUGCGUAGAUAUAGGAAGGAACACCAGUGGCGAAGGCGACCACCUGGGCUACUACUGACACUGACGUGCGAAAGCGUGUGGAGCAAACAGGGAUUAGAUACCCUGCUAGUCUACGCCGUACACGAUGUCGACUACCCGUUCGGAUCCUUGAGAUCUUAGUUGACGCAGCUAACGCAUUAAGUCGACCGCCUGGGGUAGUACGGCCGCAAGGGUACUACUCAAAUGAAUUGACGGAA
RNAcentral lists this ribosomal RNA (869 nucleotides) under uncultured bacterium. RNAcentral's name for it is "bacterial SSU rRNA". It matches the Rfam family "Bacterial small subunit ribosomal RNA", at positions 57 to 918 of the family's 1533-position model. The record is from RNAcentral.